Molecule: ribosomal RNA, 476 nt
Filed under: uncultured organism
Description: partial 16S ribosomal RNA
Rfam family: Bacterial small subunit ribosomal RNA
Source: RNAcentral
CACUCCUACGGGAGGCAGCAGUGGGGAAUUUUGGACAAUGGGCGAAAGCCUGAUCCAGCAAUGCCGCGUGAGUGAAGAAGGCCUUCGGGUUGUAAAGCUCUUUUGUCAGGGAAGAAACGGUGAAAGCUAAUAUCUUUUGCUAAUGACGGUACCUGAAGAAUAAGCACCGGCUAACUACGUGCCAGCAGCCGCGGUAAUACGUAGGGUGCAAGCGUUAAUCGGAAUUACUGGGCGUAAAGCGUGCGCAGGCGGUUUUGUAAGUCUGAUGUGAAAUCCCCGGGCUCAACCUGGGAAUUGCAUUGGAGACUGCAAGGCUAGAAUCUGGCAGAGGGGGGUAGAAUUCCACGUGUAGCAGUGAAAUGCGUAGAUAUGUGGAGGAACACCGAUGGCGAAGGCAGCCCCCUGGGUCAAGAUUGACGCUCAUGCACGAAAGCGUGGGGAGCAAACAGGAUUAGAAACCCUGGUAGUCCCAUGAU